CCCUUUGCUUACUAAUUUUUAGAUUUUGAUUGCUUCAUAAUCAAGAAAAGAAAAGCAAGAAAAGAAGAGAAGAAAAUGAUCGAGAAAAAGAGCAAAGAGUUGAUCAUGAUCCAAGCUUCAUUCAAAUUCGUAGGGUGAUUGUUCUUAGAGAAGAAAGAUCAAUAUCAAAGAUGAUUGUUCCAGGCUGAUUCUGAGUGGAUACUCAUAA
This 208-nucleotide long non-coding RNA is filed under the name Elaeis guineensis (African oil palm). Its description in RNAcentral is "long non-coding RNA (EGUI_LNC000562)". Lineage: Eukaryota; Viridiplantae; Streptophyta; Magnoliopsida; Arecales; Arecaceae. The record is from RNAcentral.